Molecule: long non-coding RNA, 2387 nt
Organism: Diorhabda carinulata
Lineage: Eukaryota; Metazoa; Arthropoda; Insecta; Coleoptera; Chrysomelidae
Exons: 3
Source: RefSeq, a predicted model, not a curated record
GGUGGGUGCAGUUAUUUUCUAAUGUCGUCAAUUUUAUUAGUGGAAUGAAGAUCGAGUUAAAUUACGGGUGAUUCUGAUAAGCGGCGGGCUUCACUGUUAGUAAAAGUUCGGAGUGGGUAGACUUGGUGGUAAAAGUGAAAGUGAUUUGUGAAUAACUUGAAAAACAACUUGUUGUGAGCACAGAAUUCUUGUCCAAGACACGGGGAUACUAUAUGAAAUUUAAAGGACAAAAGCACUCAAGGAAAAGAUAGAUAAGUAAAAAUAAGAGACGGAGGAGGAAUAUAGAGAUAAUCAGAAAUAUAUGGUUAAUUUGAAAAUUAACAAUACCACAAUUUUCAUGAUACCCUAAUAUAACAACAUAAGGGAGAAUUUUUGAAAUACAAUUUUCAAUAUCAAAAUUUGGCAGAUUAGGAAAUUAGGAAGAAAAUGAAAAAAUAUAUUCUAUUUGCGUGAACCAUGAAUAAAUUAAUGACAUAAUUAAAAAAAAAGAUGCUCAUCAGGCAUUCACAUGAGAUUCGUCUAUCACUCUCAAAUAUUCAUUAACAAAAGACUAUUACUACUUUCGAAAAAUAUUUCAGUGGAUAUAUUACCCACUAAUCCUAUGAUUAUUUUUGACAAUGGCAAAAGAAACAUGAACUUAAGAAUGUUCUCAUUACCCGUCAUCACUCUGGACUCAAAUGAAGGGAUAAGUUGCGAGAAACCAAUGCAACAUGUGCCCCCAUAUCAAAAAACAAAAUAUCAAAAAUCUUAGAAACCAAUUCGCAAAAUGCUAUAGGACAUAUUAUAUGAAACGAAGAGACAUUAUGGGAACUUGAUAUAUUGAUAGAGAAAACAAUAAAAUUUUUGUGAGAGAAGAAACAGAUGAUAAAGAUUGCUUGUCAGAAGAAAACGACUUACAUUGAUGCUGUAGUUUCCGUGAACCUGAAGUUCUUACCACAUAUGGAGUUGACCCUAUAUCUUAACAUCAUUGAGUAUAAUGUUCUCAACAUUUCACUGAUGAAAGUUUUGAUUGAAUUUUAAUGCUAGAAGCUAGAUAGCGAUCAUGUGCUCUUCCUACACAAGAAGUCAAUCGUCUGAAAUGUAUACCUAUGGUUAUGCUCGACAAACAUUCCAAAAAUAUCUACCUCACCCAAAAAAAUUAUACAAAUGGUAUUUUUGUAUAUAUGGAAAGCUAAGGUUUACCUAAGAAGCCUUUAAUUUAUUAAAAUCGAACAUGGAAAAUAGUAACAAAUUUUGUUCUAUUCAUGAGUCCUGAUCAGUAGCAUAUUAAUGAGAAAGCUGGAAUUGAUUGGUUGAAGUCCUUUAUGGAUAGAAAUAAAGACAAAAUAGUGUCACGGUAACCUGAAAAUACUAGUUUUAAAGGGCAGUAUCUUUUAACAGAGUAACUGUUUUUUUGAAAAUUAUAUUUUAGAGCUUACGAAGUAUAGCUUAAAACCUGAACAAAUAUUCAACGUAGAUGAGUCUGAGAUAACAACUGUUUUGAAACCAGUAAAAAUAGUUUCUACCAGGAAAAAAGAACAAGACAACCUAGCGGUUUCUGCAGAACGAAGUAAACUGACAACAUUUUUGGGUAUAAUAAAAGUAUAAGAAGAUGCAUUGCCUUCCUUUUAUGUUUUUUCCUAGAAUACGCCACCCUGAAGAGUUACUAACUAAUGCACCUCCAUUUAGUAAGGCUGGAUGACAGAUCUAUUUGUUAAUGUUCUGAAAUCCAUUCGGAGAAACACGAAUUGUUUAAAAGGUUGAACUGUUGAACAAUUAUGAAUAUAAUACAAAAGUACGAGCUGUUAACUGUAAGGAAAAUGGUAUAAUCAUGUUUUCAACACACAUUGUACACAAAAUACAGCCCCUGGAUGUAGGGGUGCUUGAAACUUUCAAAACUUAUUGCUAUGUUUGGUUGACAUCAAAUCUCGGAAAUAAAAGAAAUGAUGAGAUCACUAACACUACAUUUCAAACAGACAAGACAGACGUUUUCUUAUCUCAAUUUACAUGUGAUUCAAACUGCCCCACUUCAUGGUUGAAAGUGUCCCAGUGGAGAGGCACAUUUGGUUUGCAAAUUUAGAUACAGCCGAAUCAAAAAUGGCACGGCAUAAAUAAGUAUUUUAACAAUAGAAAAGUGUAUAGUUUGAUAUGCACCCUUGUCUUAUUAUCUUAUUACCAAUAGUUGCGAUCGCUCCACCUAGAACUUCAAUUCUGAUGUUUUCAUGUAUCGAUGAGUGAUAUCAGACAUUAUGCAAUGACUUUGGAUUACUCAAAAUGAACUUAACAUUAUUGAGUAUUGAGACCAAAACCGUGAUGUAUAUUCACCGGAAAAUGUGUUUUUUCAAAUGUUUCCAGCGUAGGAUUUGUUUUUUCAAUCAACUUAUUAUUUAUACUUUCAUGAAAGCCGA